Molecule: long non-coding RNA, 7523 nt
Organism: Equus caballus (horse)
Lineage: Eukaryota; Metazoa; Chordata; Mammalia; Perissodactyla; Equidae
Source: Ensembl
GCCGGAGUAUUCACAUUCCCUAAACCCAUCCUGUGAUUUCCCACCCAUCUCUCAGACCAGUCCUCAUGUCACGCAGUGAAGUGGGUGCUACCAGUCCCUCCUCCAUCUAAGGGACUGACCAGACCCUGCUAUGGAUUAGAGCUGCUUGCUCCUGUCUGAUUUUCACCCCCCACUGUCCCUGUCAGGGUCCCUGUCCCUUUGCCCCUGUGUCUUCUGUAGUGCUGAGUGCAUAUGGAAAAUGUAUUUUGAAUGAAUGAACGUAAUUUCUAAAGUGCUCCCUACAGGGACUGCCAGGGCCCUCUAUGUCACCUAAGAGGGGGGAUGCCUCAUCUGGCUCCAGUCUCCUCCCGACCCUUUCUCAUGCUUAGGCCUGCAACUCUCAGUCCCUGGUGACUUGAGGGACUCUCCAGGUAUCCCAGGAGGUAUCCCCACCCCUACCUCAGAGAGAGCCACUUCCUUCCAAAGGAAGCGUUGAGCAAGCACUUUCCCUGAAUUAAAUGGGGUUUCAGUGAUGGACAUGCAAUAGAGUUGGAAUCUUUGAUUAUAGAACCUAUGGCCAAUUUCGGGAGUAGGUAAUUGGUCAUUAGUGAAAAACAUUUUCAACCAGUUGUGUUCUGAUUAAUGAAUUGAUGCCUCCCCCCCGUUCAUUGUUUUAUUUCCUUUAAUUUGCUAUUCUAUAGUUUUUAGGACAUGAAUUUGGUUGGCAGCGUAACAGCAAGGAUUCAGGAGGCCAACUGUGUUUGGGUUCGAAUCCUGGCUCUGUCUCGCACUUGCUGUGUGACCUUGUGCCAGUUACUUAACGUCCCUUGUUUAGUAUCCUCAUCUGUAAAAGGAGGAAACCAGUAUCACAUACCUCUUAGGGUUAACGAGAGGAGUAAACGAGUGAUAUUUGCAAAUGCGGAGCACAGUGCCUGGCACAGAGUCCAUUGCUAUUUUUAUUCUUGUUGUUAUUUAGUCUUACAAAUUGCAAUUUGUUUCAUCUGUGCAUGGUUUUAAUCUCUGGAAUUGUCGUACGCUCUGUUCUUUUAUAAAUCAGAGGCCCAGUAGUGUAUUAUCUUCAUUUUACACGCCUGCUUAAAAAGAAUCUAGCUGUCUGAUUCCCAAAGUUGCAAAUCAGACAGCGUGACUACUUUGUGGGCUUAAAAUAGCUGUCAGCCUUGUUGGGAAGGAAUAAAAAGGGGUUAACUAGCUUCUGGUGCAUGCCCCCAUCACAUUUGUUCCAGCCCUUUAAUCCUCGUUAGGAUUAAAAAUCACAGAAUCUUGUUAAGUACAGUAUGUUGUCUGUCUUCCCUGUCGUUCUCUGAAUUUCUUGGAUAAAUAUUUCUUUAAGCAGAGGUAAUCUAAGCAGCAGAAAUCUUCAUCAUGGGAUUAAUUAAUACCUUGCGAUGCUUACUUUCCCUUUUCAAUUUUUAUAUUCAGCAUCUGUUUCCUUUCAAGCACUGGAGCCGCUGGCUUUAAAAGUUACUUAAAAUGGUCCUUCCAGGAAGUUCGAGCCCAAAGUGUUGACACACUGUAGAAGCCUGCUCCUCUAGCUCCUGCGUGUGACCCGGUUGAUUUUCUGUAGCACUUUAACGAGACUUGUGAGUCUUAUACCCUUCUGGUCCAUCCAUGAGAAUGGACGGUGGCUAACCCGUUUAUUCUUGAAGCUACAGUGCUUUCCAGGAGAACUGUUGAAAUGAUCAACCUUGAGAGUUGAAUGAGACCUGGGACUCCCAACGUAGGGGUGGCAAGAAGAGGGCACUUGCCACCCGGUGCACCCUGAGCUGUAUUUGGAACAUUCUGAGCUCCGUUAGCCUGUGCGUGAGCACCUUAGAGAGAAAUGCUAUUUGCACGCUUGCAGAAUUAACAUGUGUCCCGUAUCUGUGCUGCUCUUCCUGCUCGUCCUGGGUGUGCAUUUCUUGUCCCUGAUCUAGGCUACAAGCUUCUCAAGGGCCAAGGGGACUCCCCACGUACCUGCCUCGUGCCAUCCACAUCACAGAAAGCUAACAGAAUAAUCGCUAUUAUUUAAAAAGCACUUACUAUGUUCCAGGCACUAUGCCAGGCUCUUUCUCUUGACGAUUAGUCCUCCCAACAGCCGUGUGAAUUAAGGAAGAUUAAUGUCUCCCAUAGGCCAAGUGACAGGUCAAGAAUUUUGCAGCAUCCUCAAGUGAGGGAAAUCACUGGCCAAAUUCCUUUGAUUGGAUAAUGCAGCUGUUCUCAAACUUUGCCAUCUAUCAGAAUCACCUGGAAACUAAUAAAAAUACAGAAACCCAGGCUUGUUGAAGUCGCAUAGGGCCUGGAUCUCUGUCUUUGCUGUGUUUUCCGGGUAAGAAUAAUGGAGUUGGAGCACUGGCUGGCAAACUUGGCUACUCAUUGGAAUCACUCGGGAGUUAAAAAAAAUUACCGAUGGCUGGGUACUCUCAGCGAUUUUAAUUCAGUUAGUAUGGGGUGCAGCCUGCAUGUUACAAUUUUUAUAUCUUCUGUUUCUUUGCUGAGACUUUGUGUUUUUCUCAUUUGUUUCAAGCAUAUUUGUAAUUGCUUGUUGAAGUAUUUUUAUGAAGGCUGCUUUAAAAUCCUUGUCGGAUGAUUCUAAUUUAUCUGUCAUCUUGGUGUUGACAUCGGUUGAUUGUCUUUUCUCAUUCAUGUGGAGACUUUCCUGGUUCCUGGAAUGAUGACUGGGUUUUGAUUGAAACCUGGAAGUUUUGGGUAUUAUGAGAUUCUGGAUCUUAAUUAAAUUUUCUGUUUUAGGAAGACUCCUCUGCCAGUGCGCUGGUUGGGGAAGGAGAGUGCUACCUCGUGACUGUUGGGUGGUGGGUGGAAGUCCAGGUUAUUUACGGCCUCAGCUGAUACCCCUCUGGGAUGCGGCAGGAGUGCCUCAUUACUAUUCCUCCGUAGCUUCCACUGAUGCUCUGACUUAUCAUUGCUGGGUGAUGGUGAAAGUUCCAGCUUGGCACUAGGCCUCCUCUUGACACCCCAGCAAGGAGGGGAGGAGGCCUUUUCCUCUCCCAGGUUGGGUGGACAUCCCAGUGUCCUGGCUUCCCAUUCAGCCUUCUGUGACACCACCUGGAUGAAGGUAAGGUUGGAACAUCUCUUUUCAACCGGCUGAGAGCAGAAGUCUAGUUUCCUGACUUGGCCAAUAGGGGUGAGGUUUGGGGGCAUGGCUUUUUUCUGCGAUGUUUGGCUGGAGUAGAGCUGUUAUGGUCUAAAAGUUUUCUGUCGUGUGAGGCUGCCUCUUUCUUAGUCCUUUGGCUAGAGAAGGCAGGCUUUCCUUGGACAUUUUUUUGUCUGUGUCUCUUGGUGUUUCUGGGUCUCUGGCUUCUCCAGAAACCAGUCUGGGAUCUGUGAGAAAAAAAGAAAACCUAGGGAACACAGCUCCAUGUCGUUCCUGGCUGGUCUGCCUUCUUCUCUCCGUCUUUCUGAGUCUUCUUAUGCUUGUUUUCUGGAUAAUGCCUGGAGUUUUUUUGUUAGGAGGAACAGGGAAAAGUAUGUCUACUCUGUCUUUCUGGAAAUGGGAGUUCCCUGGAGAUUGGGAGUUUUAAAAGCUCCCCAGGUGAUUCAAAUCAAAUCAAGGUGCAGAAUAUGAGAAUCUCAGGGUUGGAGCACUGGAGCAGGCAAAGGUGGUUCUGGUGGAAGGACCAAGAGGACCUGGAAUCUUCCCCAAGUGGUGGUCUUUAUGAAAGAUUAUGUACGCCUUCAUAAAUUCUUAUCACUUAGUCACUUUCCUUCCAUAGACUUAGAUUUUUUUUUCUGUAUGUCCCUGAGUCUGACUUGUGUUCCCUGAGUAUACAUUCUUAAAUGCAGGUGUAAAAAUAGUCUAAUUGUAGAGGAAGUAUUUAGUGUGCUCCUACUGUGUUUAGGGCACGGUGCUUGGUGUUAAAGUUCAGAGAGAGAUGAGACAAGAUGGUGACUUGAAGGAGAUCACUGUAGCUGGGAGAUACUGAUAUGUGGAAAGAUAAAUACAAUGAUAGUAUUAUGUAUUGAGCACACGUGUGCUGGGUAUUCUCCUAGGUGUUUUAUAAAUUUUCAUUUAAUUCUUCCAACUACGCUGCAUGAUAGAUGUUAUUUUCUCCCUUUCAUCAUUGUGAUUUCAAAGGCUCAGUAUUAAGUGCCUUGUCCAAGGUCACUCCAUAUCCAAUUCAGGACAAAAUUGGACCUCGACUUCGGCGCUGGAAUGAGGCCUUGCUUUUUCCACCUGGACGUGUCCCACUAAGCUUUCUUCAUGAGUGUGUCAUGGGGGUGCUGCUGAGCUCAUCCAUUUAUAUUUCUCCCUGGACCCAGGACAAUUUUGGAGGCAGCUGUUAUUAGUGGCUUAGUCUGUGACUUUGGAAUGGACCUUGUAGGGACUUGAAAUGAUUCUUGAGACUUAAAAAUAUCACUGUAGUAAUUCUGUGGAGAGUGGGGUGGGGGGCAAUAAUAGACCUGGAGAGACUGUUCGGGAAGCUCAUCCUGUACUUCAGGCAAGGGAGGUUAGUCGCUGGAAUUAGGGCCCGUCUUCCACUCUGGAAGUUGCAAGAGGUAUAAGGCAUCUUUUAGUUUGGAAUGAGCACAUGUGUAAGUAAAGAAGGGAAGUGAGGUAAGCGAAAUGGAGGAAAAGUGUGGUCUUGUGAUGUGAGUGGGGGAGAGGAGGGUUUAUAUGUAGGCUUUUAGUAUUUUUUUUUAAGGGGGAAGGAGAUAAGAGAACUAUAGAUAAUGAAGAAAUGACAGAGAGGUAGGACGACCCGUACCCCAGGAGGCUUUAAAUACCAGGCUCAAGAGACAUGGCUUCAUCUUGCCAAUAGUGGGGAACAAAAAUGCGUGUUCCUAGGGGAUGAUAUAAAUAUAUAUAUUUACAUAAUGUAUAUAUGUGUCUACUCACACACACACAGAGUCGUGUAUUAGGAAGAGGAAAUGGAUAAGAGCUGCUGUAAAAAUAGAAAAGAGCGCUGAGGACUAGUGCUGAAGUCCAGGUGUGAGGACCUGAACCAGGACGACGAUGGCGGGUGUGGAAAUGAAGGGAUGGAUGUAAGAGAAAUUACAAAGACUCGAUACAGCAAUCUGUCUUGUGUUCUUAGGGCCAGGCUGCAUUUGGGAAGGAGAAUCAGAAAUUGAAAGCAUCAGAAUGAAAUAGCCUUUACUUCCAAGGAGCUUGUGUCUUAGUGAGUCAUCGCAUCUCAUGUGACAAAGCUUUAAACACCGCCUGUUCGACGGACACUCUAACAUGUCAACUGCCUGAGCUUGAAAGCUAGUUUAACUUGCCUCAUCUCUGUGUCUGGUCCUAAGCUGUUCAUCAUGGGUUGGGCCCUUAGCUACACUAUGUCCUAAGUCCUAUGUGAAAUUUUGCCUUUUUAGAGCAGCCCUGAUACCUUAUACUAACUCAGAGUUUAGGAAGCAUAUUAUUAGGCUGUCGAUUUUUGGCAGUUUUAAGGUCUGUUUGUCUAAAAUGAUGAGAAUGAAACUGUGUCCAUAUGAGCCCCUCUGUGAAAUGAGAAAAGGGCUGAGUGGGAUGCUGGUAAAGGUUAUGAAAACAUAGACCCUAGAUAAUUGGCAGUCUCAGCAAGCUAGGAUUAGGAGGUCCCUUUCUCCCUCCCAACCUCUUCUUGGAAAUGGAAGUUGCUGAAAUAUGAAAACUUGAGGCAGGGAUUCUAUCAGUGGUGACAAAUCCAUAAUGGGUUUCCGAGGCUAAUUAGAUUGUUUGGGAUAUUAGCAACUUCCUUCGUGUCCUUAGGCUUUCUGUCAAUGCUUACUGCCUAUAUUGUGAUCACUUCUGUCUUCUACAACCCACCCCCAACCCCAGGUGGUACCCUCUGGCUUUUGAGAUCCUGAAACAACACCGCGUCUGAUUGACUUUUGAAUUUCCAGGACAUAGCAUAGUGCCUGACACAUUAUAGGUGCGCCGUUGACCUUGAAUGAAUAAGUGAAUGAAGGAAGUUGAUGUCACUGAGUAUACACUGCUUCUCUACUCAUUACAUUUACCUGGGGGCCUUUGCUAGGAGUGGGAUCCCUUUUCUGCUUCUCUUGCCCAGCCCAAUUGUCAUCCAAGUCGUGUUGGUUGUAUUUCACAAAACUGUUUUGUGGAGAGAAUGUGAUGUUUAAUGACUUUGCCCUCCUAGCCAUUCCCUUGGCAAGAUGAUCAAGAUUUUUAUAGUGUGGGUCUCAUUUUUCUUCUACUGAAGGUGAGCUAGCCUGUGGCCUGAAGCUGGCUUUGUAGUUGUGCGAUUCACCUAUGGUGAAUAUGUCAACGUCAUACUCAUUUGAUGAGGCUUAGCUCAUCAAAUACUAGUUUCUGCCCCUGUCUUCCAACUUUCUCGGGGUUCUUCUUCCUUCAAUUGCUGUAGCAUCAUUUGGUUUGUAAUCUUAGCAUUAACUGUGUACUUGUUUUAGCAUAGGCCCCAUAACAGGUGGUUGAACUGUCUUUUUUGCAGUGCUGGCAGAGGGCCUAGCCAUAGUAGCUGCUCAGUAAGCACGUGUGGGGUUCAUGGAAUUCAGCAAGGGUUUGGUUUGUGAGGGUGAGGCUGACAUUCUCAGUGUCCUGUGAAUGUCAGGUGCCUCAUGACAGUGAUGCCUUUUAGUGAUUCCUUAUUUCCUCUUUCCAGCAGUAGCUUGCAGUUGUUUUUCAUUAAAAAUAUGUCUGAAGCACACACUUGAGGCUGCUGACUCACCUCUUCUACAGGAGAAGCCUUGAUGCAUUGGAUCUGCCAUGUGGGAGAUGCAGUCACUCCUCUCACCUCCCCACGGCAGUGUACUCUUUUCUUCAUGAUGGUCUGUUUACUCAUCACUCAGCAGGGAGGCCCGGGUCUGAGAGACUAGAAUGUGGCAUGGAAGAGUUCUGACUGGUUGCAGGGCCAGUCCUACACUGGAUCAACAGCCUUGAACAAGUCACUUUCAUCUCUUUGUCCUUCAGUCCCCUCAUCUGUAAAAUAAGGGGGUUGACUUAGAACCUGUAUCUUAGAGGAUCUCUGAGGUCCCUUCCACUCCAACACUCUAAUUGUACUUUAGUUGUAGUCUUCUCAUGUCUUCUGCAGACCAUGCCCCUUUCCCCAGUGAAGUCACAUUCCAAUUACUUAAUGCCCACAUCCUGGUUGACAGAUCAGUUAGAGCAAACAGCCAAACGCAGCAAGACUGCACGUGGCGCUCACCAUGCUCCGGGCUGUGGAAGGUGCCCUCUCCCUUGGAGGCGUGGGAGGAGCGGCCUUGUGCUCUUUCUUCCCUUAGCUGUUCAUCGACAUGUUGCUCAAGUGGAACCCAUGUAAACAGAACUUAUUCAUUACUUGUCUCUGUUCUCAAAUAUUUACACCUUUUGCUGCUGUGAAAAAAAUCUUUAAUCUUAGUUACAAUUUUCCCUAUUGCAGCCGAAAGAGGAGAGUUUCGAAAAGCAGUAGAACCCUAUAGGGUCACAUUCUGCAGAAAGGCACAGGAGAAAACAAAAUGCGCUGCAAUCUUGGUUUUGUAGAAAUUCAAGCGGGAAGAGGCCUCCGUGUGCUUGACAGCGCCAGGGGUGUCCAGCAGGCUAGGGCUUUGCCUUAAGGGGCGGCAUUUGUUGCCCACUGUUAAGGGUUAACCCUUAG